UACGUAGGGGGCAAGCGUUGUCCGGAAUUAUUGGGCGUAAAGAGCUCGUAGGCGGUUUGUCGCGUCUGCUGUGAAAACUCGAGGCUCAACCUCGGGCUUGCAGUGGGUACGGGCAGAUUAGAGUGCGGUAGGGGUGACUGGAAUUCCUGGUGUAGCGGUGGAAUGCGCAGAUAUCAGGAGGAACACCGAUGGCGAAGGCAGGUCACUGGGCCGCAACUGACGCUGAGGAGCGAAAGCAUGGGGAGCGAACAGG
Molecule: ribosomal RNA, 253 nt
Filed under: uncultured bacterium
Lineage: Bacteria
Description: partial 16S ribosomal RNA
Rfam family: Bacterial small subunit ribosomal RNA
Source: RNAcentral